Molecule: unclassified non-coding RNA, 625 nt
Filed under: Hevea brasiliensis (rubber tree)
Lineage: Eukaryota; Viridiplantae; Streptophyta; Magnoliopsida; Malpighiales; Euphorbiaceae
Source: RNAcentral
GUUGGGAAUGGACUUGUCAGACAAACAUUUAGUUCUCAUUUUUUUUCGCACAUGCAGACAAAAAUUUAUUGUGUCUAAAUUGGUAUAGUAAGAACCAAGUCCCAGUAUACCAGAUAAUAGUCUACAAAACAACUUCAGCAAAAGAAAAAACUGAAAUUGUUUAUUUAUUCAGUUGUGACCUAAAAAACUUAACUCAAUGGAUACAUUCAGCCCCACAAUCUACGAUUUGCUUAAGAAAUAUUGAAUAAAAGGCACAUUCUAUUAAAAUAAUCAAUUUUUAAUUAUACUUGACAACUGUUCAAACACUAAAAAAAUAUGCAAACCUUCCAAAGUAUGACUUGCUCGUAAAAGCUUGUGGGCCAUUUUGAAAUAUGCCUUCACUGUCAGGUAUGGUUCAAAAGUCUCCUUGUAGCCUCUCCUUCCCUAAAUUCUUCACUUUUUUUUUUUUCUCUUCCCAACUGUGGCUUCAAAAGUCUUCUUCAAAAAAGGGCUAGGUAAUGUAUUCUUUUCACCCAUUACGAGUGAAAAGGAGAGGCAAGGGUAAUGCAAAUGGUCUGACUCCCUUUCACCUGCUGCAAAUCUUCACCAGAGGCAACGGGAACGGCGAGAGAGAGAGAGAGAGAGA